GAUGAAGAACGAAGUGAAAUGCGAUAAGUAAUGUGAAUUGCAGAAUUCAGUGAAUCAUCGAAUCUUUGAACGCACAUUGCGCCCCUUGGUAUUCCGAGGGGCAUGCCUGUUCGAGCGUCAUUAUAACCCCUCAAGCUCAGCUUGGUGUUGGGGCCUGCUGCACUGGCAGCCCUUAAAAUCAGUGGCGGCGCCAUCUGGCUCUAAGCGUAGUAAUUCUUCUCGCUAUGGAGUCCUGGUGGAUGCUUGCCAUCAACCCCCAAUUUUUCUAUGGUUGACCUCGGAUCAGGCAGGGAUACCCGCUGAACUUAAGCAUAUCAAUAAGCGGAGGA
RNAcentral lists this unclassified non-coding RNA (329 nucleotides) under soil metagenome. RNAcentral's name for it is "partial contains 5.8S ribosomal RNA, internal transcribed spacer 2, and large subunit ribosomal RNA". The stretch from base 1 to 120 matches the Rfam family "5.8S ribosomal RNA", at positions 35 to 154 of the family's 154-position model. The record is from RNAcentral.